RNAcentral lists this ribosomal RNA (210 nucleotides) under Vibrio diabolicus. Its description in RNAcentral is "partial 23S ribosomal RNA". It matches the Rfam family "Bacterial large subunit ribosomal RNA", at positions 1 to 213 of the family's 2925-position model. The record is from RNAcentral. Lineage: Bacteria; Pseudomonadati; Pseudomonadota; Gammaproteobacteria; Vibrionales; Vibrionaceae.
GGUUAAGUGACUAAGCGUACACGGUGGAUGCCUUGGCAGUCAGAGGCGAUGAAGGACGUAUUAACUUGCGAUAAGCCCAGAUUAGGCAGUAAAAACCAUUUGAGUCUGGGAUUUCCGAAUGGGGAAACCCACUUACAUAAGUAAGUAUCGUUAUGUGAAUACAUAGCAUAACGAGGCGAACCGGGGGAACUGAAACAUCUAAGUACCCCG